Molecule: non-coding RNA, 75 nt
Organism: Thalictrum thalictroides
Lineage: Eukaryota; Viridiplantae; Streptophyta; Magnoliopsida; Ranunculales; Ranunculaceae
Source: the annotation of a GenBank genome assembly
GGCCCAUUAGCUCAGUUGGUUAGAGCGUCGUGUGUAAUAACACAAAGGUCGCAGGUUCAAGUCCUGCAUGGGCAA